This 492-nucleotide ribosomal RNA is filed under the name uncultured bacterium. Its description in RNAcentral is "partial 16S ribosomal RNA". It matches the Rfam family "Bacterial small subunit ribosomal RNA", at positions 29 to 507 of the family's 1533-position model. The record is from RNAcentral.
AGUGAACGCUGGCGGUAGGCCUAACACAUGCAAGUCGAACGGCAGCACAGUAAGAGCUUGCUCUUACGGGUGGCGAGUGGCGGACGGGUGAGGAAUACAUCGGAAUCUACUUUUUCGUGGGGGAUAACGUAGGGAAACUUACGCUAAUACCGCAUACGACCUACGGGUGAAAGCAGGGGAUCUUCGGACCUUGCGCGAUUGAAUGAGCCGAUGUCGGAUUAGCUAGUUGGCGGGGUAAAGGCCCACCAAGGCGACGAUCCGUAGCUGGUCUGAGAGGAUGAUCAGCGACACUGGAACGGAGACACGGUCCAGACUCCUACGGGAGGCAGCAGUGGGGAAUAUGGGACAAUGGGCGCAAGCCUGAUCCAGCCAUACCGCGUGGGUGAAGAAGGCCUUCGGGUUGCAAAGCCCUUUUGUUGGGAAAGAAAAGCAGCAGGUUAAUACCCCGCUGUUCUGACGGUACCCAAAGAAUAAGCACCGGCUAACUUCGUG